GCUUACGCGUACAUUGUGUAUUAGGCUACUAAAGUAGUAUAGCUGGUAUGAAAUAGUUGUGCUCGAGUUAUAAUUUCAUAGAUUUAACGAAUAAUUAGAAAAAUAAUAGUGCCCGUGUCUGGCGAUACAUAUGGAUAAUUUGGCGUACUUGUGUGGAACUAUCAAAGCCACGGCCUAUGGGGGAGUACAACAAACGCUUACACAGUAAUAAUAAUAAGUGCAGCUCGGAGCAAACACUGGAAAACCCGAUUCGCACAGCAAACUUAAUCGACAGUCGUUUACGGUGUAUAUAUAUUGGUAAUCGCCAAUGCUCGGCACGGCUAUUAUUAUCUAAUCUCCGCCGCAGUGCUGUUGUGUGCAAAAAAUACAUCCUACGCGAGCUCCGAGAAACGACGGCUAAGGCAAGUUAAGUACACGCACAAAACACACAGCUUGGCGAUGCUAUCCGAGACCUGAUGAUAACACUUGUGAGCUAUAUAACUGCGGCGGCGGUAGUAGUUGCCAGUCGGUGCCGUGCACGCAAUCACACCACAACGCCGACCGGCUCAAAUGGAUUUUCCUCUUUUGAAACCAAUCAUAAUACAUUGGUCUGCACCGGCACCGGCGUACUCAGAUAAGGACAGAACAGUAACUGAUGGUAGAACGAGGGCAAGACGAAUGAGGAGGGGCAAUGAGGUUUUUGAUGGAUGAAAAAUUGGUCGACAGAAAAAAUAAUACAUUGUUUCUGAUACAUAUGGCUGUACGUAUUCACUUUGAAGCGACACACAGGUAUCGACCUUAAAGAAAUACUUAUUUUUUUUUUUGGUAUUGAAAAGAUAUACAAUUUAAUAGCGCAAUAAGUACUCGUGUAUAUAUAUAUAUAUAUAUAUGAUAAUAAUAAUAUAAGUAGCACUGAGAAAGAUACGUUAAUUGUAUUAUAAUUGUAUCACUUUUGUUGUAGAUUAAGUACAGUUUAUCAUGAUAGUUUUUUACAUAGUCAAUUGUUAUAAUAUGACCGUUUAUUUGGUAUAUAAUUUUCUUUUUGGGGACCUAAAAGCCGAUUAUUGAUUGAGCUAUUAGAAAAUUAUUUUGAUGAAUUAAACUACCUACAACUACCUAUAAAAAAUAUAAACGCUUAUAUCACAUUUUAAAAACUAAUAUAAAAAAUUGGCCUUAGAAGCGAAAAUAAAAUUGAAACGGUUUGGUUGACACCUUGGAAAAUGACUUGAUGCAUUAUUCUUAUUUGUAUAAAUUUGGGUUCGUUCUGUUUCCCUUAAAAGAAAUUGACUUUAUAGUCAAAAACAUAAAUAUCCCAACAUUACUACAUAAAAACAUUUUUUUGACGUUUUAAUCAAAAAUGAAAAUAAAUAUAUUAUCUUAACAGUUGACUAUUCUGCUGGUAGGUUUAUUUUAAAAUAUGUUUUUUUACUGAUAAAUGAU
Adelges cooleyi (spruce gall adelgid) is the source of this 1419-nucleotide long non-coding RNA. RefSeq lists it as uncharacterized. The record is from RefSeq and is a predicted model, not a curated record. Lineage: Eukaryota; Metazoa; Arthropoda; Insecta; Hemiptera; Adelgidae. The transcript is spliced from 4 exons.